GAUGAAGAACGCAGCGAAGUGCGAUAAGUAAUGUGAAUUGCAGAAUUCCGUGAAUCAUCGAAUCUUUGAACGCAAAUUGCACUCUUUGGUAUUCCGAAGAGUAUGCCUGUUUGAGGGUCAGUUAAAUAAAAAUCGAGUGUUGUUGCUGCCUUUCGUGGUGACGCUUCGGAUCUGGGUCGUCUUACCUUCGGUUAAGUGACCUAAAAUUUAGCAUGAUUUUUCGAACGUAUUUAAAUUAUUUACGUACGUUUGUGAUAUCGAAUAUACUGGAUGUGGUCAUUCUCAUGAUUCGCGUCUAUAAUUUUUUGUAAAAUGACCUCAAAUCAGGUAAGAGUACCCGCUGAACUUAAGCAUAUCAAUAAGCGGAGGA
Molecule: unclassified non-coding RNA, 370 nt
Filed under: soil metagenome
Description: partial contains 5.8S ribosomal RNA, internal transcribed spacer 2, and large subunit ribosomal RNA
Rfam family: 5.8S ribosomal RNA (bases 1-120)
Source: RNAcentral